This 253-nucleotide ribosomal RNA is filed under the name uncultured bacterium. Its description in RNAcentral is "partial 16S ribosomal RNA". It matches the Rfam family "Bacterial small subunit ribosomal RNA", at positions 524 to 776 of the family's 1533-position model. The record is from RNAcentral.
GACGUAGGAGGCGAGCGUUGUCCGGAGUUACUGGGCGUAAAGCGCGCGCAGGCGGUCACGCAGGUCAUCUGUGAAAGCACUCGGCUCAACCGGGAUGUUGCGGGUGAAACCGCGUGACUUGAGGGUGGGAGAGGUCGGUGGAAUUCCCGGUGUAGUGGUGAAAUGCGUAGAGAUCGAGAGGAACACCCGUAGCGAAGGCGGCCGACUGGACCACACCUGACGCUGAGGCGCGAAGGCCAGGGGAGCGAACGGG